UACGUAGGGCGCAAGCGUUGUCCGGAAUUAUUGGGCGUAAAGAGCUCGUAGGCGGUUUGUCGCGUCGGCCGUGAAAACUUGGGGCUUAACCCCAAGCCUGCGGUCGAUACGGGCAGACUUGAGUUCGGCAGGGGAGACUGGAAUUCCUGGUGUAGCGGUGAAAUGCGCAGAUAUCAGGAGGAACACCGGUGGCGAAGGCGGGUCUCUGGGCCGAUACUGACGCUGAGGAGCGAAAGCGUGGGGAGCGAACAGG
RNAcentral lists this ribosomal RNA (253 nucleotides) under uncultured bacterium. Its description in RNAcentral is "partial 16S ribosomal RNA". It matches the Rfam family "Bacterial small subunit ribosomal RNA", at positions 524 to 776 of the family's 1533-position model. The record is from RNAcentral.